UACGGAGGAUGCGAGCGUUAUCCGGAUUUAUUGGGUUUAAAGGGUGCGUAGGCGGAGUGCCAAGUCAGCGGUAAAAAUUCGGGGCUCAACCCCGUCGUGCCGUUGAAACUGGCGCCCUUGAGUGGGCGAGAAGUAUGCGGAAUGCGUGGUGUAGCGGUGAAAUGCAUAGAUAUCACGCAGAACCCCGAUUGCGAAGGCAGCAUACCGGCGCCCGACUGACGCUGAGGCACGAAAGCGUGGGUAUCGAACAGG
This 252-nucleotide ribosomal RNA is filed under the name uncultured bacterium. RNAcentral's name for it is "partial 16S ribosomal RNA". It matches the Rfam family "Bacterial small subunit ribosomal RNA", at positions 524 to 776 of the family's 1533-position model. The record is from RNAcentral.